Long non-coding RNA from Manis pentadactyla (Chinese pangolin), 3659 nucleotides. RefSeq lists it as uncharacterized. The transcript has 4 exons. The record is from RefSeq and is a predicted model, not a curated record. NCBI's taxonomy places the organism in Eukaryota, Metazoa, Chordata, Mammalia, Pholidota, Manidae.
CAAAAAGUAAAUCAAAAUUACAGCUUAUUUUGAGUGACACUAGCAAUUCUAUGUCGAAUUCAUUUUAAAAUGUCUGUUUGUACACAAAUGUAACAGCUGCAUUUUUCACAGGAGGUUCAACAUAGCCACAACCCAAAUAAAUGUCUGUCUGCUGAUGACUGGGUGAAUUAAAUGUGGUACAUCUAUACAAUGGAAUAUUAUUUGGCAAUGAAAACAAAGUACUGACACAUGCUGAAAUAUGGAUGAACCUCCACAAGUUAUGCCAAAUGAAAGCAGCCAAAGGAUAAAGAAUACAUGUUGCAUGAUUCCACUUCUAUGACAUGUUGGAAAAGGAAUUUUCCAACUAGCACUGGGACGCCUAGCAGGGGAGACUGGCAGCAGGUCUGAAUAAUGCAUUCAAGAUAAUUUCAAAAAAUCACUCUUUAACGAGUACCAGAUUACCUCCAAUUUUCCCUUAUAUAUGAUUCACCAUUUUGCAAAUAUUGAUGUAUAAAGAAUGCGUUGAAUGUUGCAAAAGUUGAAGAUAGCCCCUGUGGAUAAGACCUAAUGGACACCAUCCUGAAAUAAUACGUACAGCUCAGCCCUCAGACAUGUGUCUUCAAUUUAAAAUAAUUCAGCAAUCAUGUUUGACCAGAACCUGAUUACACAAAAUGGAACUUUUUAACUCCCAGACUUGAAUCAAAUUUUGAGGCCACACAAAAAAAAAAGGGGGCAGGGGGAGAUAAUAUGUACCAUGUUUAUAUAUUCCAGAAACUGUAUUAAAUGACCCACACAGGGGUUUAACUGUUUCUCUGAACUUAUCAAGACACCUCUUACCAUCUUCCACCUACAACUAUUUGCCUCACCUUUAUGAGAACCUGUGUGAAAGUCCUGAGCUGAGAUGCAAAGGGAAAGAAGCUGAAAAUCAAUUGAGUUCCUAUGUCUAAACAUUAUGGUUUCUAAAGCACAGAACUGGGUCUCACUGUCCACUUUCCUGGAGGCCCAGGAGGGAGGAGACAGGGCUGGACAUAGUUAGCUCUCCCUUGGUCACACUGGGGAGCCCAGCACACCUUGUCUGCUGUGGUCACCAGAAGAUGCUCUGCUCGCCUUUGAUCUUUUACUCUGUCCCCACUGCCUCCCUUCUCCCUGUCACUCACUAUUCAUGGUCUCCUCUCUUAUAGGCAAGUCGGACCCCUGGCCAUAUUAUGACUUCUAAGAUACUAAGAAGUCCCCCUGAAUCCUUUCCCUUGGAUAGAUAGCCUAAGUCUUGAACUGCUAUUAUGAUCAGGGACUUACUACUUUCAGUCCCUUUGAUCAGAAGAAAUAGUGGAUAUUAAAAUGUUUAACGAAUCCCAAGCAAUGGUCUCUAGUGAUAAGAUUGCCAGAUAAAAUGUAAAUGCCCAGUUCAAUUCAAAUUUUACAUAAACAACAAUUGUUUAGUAUGUGUAUGUGCCAAAUAUGGUAUGUGGCAUACUAAACUAUUGUUUGUUGUUUAACUGAAAUUCUAAUUUAGUUGGGUAUUGCCUCUUUUAUUUGCUAAAUCAGGCAACUCUACCUAGUCACCACCCGUAUAUGGUAUAUUGGACAAAGGACCUCGUAGGUGGGAAGGUUGGGAAAAUCAUUGUAACAUGACCACCUUCACUUCACUGAGAAAAAGGCAACAGGCCAGUUUAUUUUACCCAAGUUAUUAAAGCCUCGACCCCCAGGAUCUGAUGGUCUAAAACUUGGGCAGCAUAAACCUGGGCAUACUAGGAAUCAAGGUUUUUGUGCAUUUGUUUUCAGUAAGAUGAACAUAUUCAGAAUGGGUGAUUUUCUUUUUAAAUGGGUAAUAUUUCUACUUUUCCUUUUGUUUACAGGUCUUAUGUGUAUUUUAUGGGUUAAAAGAAGAAAGCAGGACCAUUUGGGGUACUGGCCAAGGGAUAAGGGCCCACUGCUUUGGAGUCUGACUUCUGGGUCUGAAUGGCGGGGCUGGUGGGGGUGGGCACGAACUGGCCAAGAAGCCCUCCUUAGUAGAUGGUGUGCUGGGCAGGGGGCUGCUGGUAGUGUUGGGGCAUCUACAAACUGGUUUGCCUCAAAAGAUCUGUUUCUAAAAAUAAAAAAGCGAAAUUCACAAGUGAUUUGUUCCGCCCAUAAAUUAGAGUAGACUCAGUGUUACCUCUUUAAUAACUGCCCUGUUAAUAAUCACUUGCAUGCCAGGUGGGAGAGAAAGGCAGCUUGAGAGUCAGUGCUGUGGGAAUUCCUGGUAAACUGGCUCCCCAAAGAUCAGUCAUUCUUGUGAAUAUCAACUGUCACAUGUGCUGGGACAAAAGAUUAGAUUGAGAUUCAACUGCUCUCAGAUACCUCCAGGAGCAGAAACCGAGUGGCACUUCCUCAGCACUCCAAGGCUUGGUUCCUGCCUGCAAGAGCUCUGAGUUCAAACAAAGGGGAAGGAGCAUUUUCUGAAGAGAUUGAAGAUGAAGGAUUCUGAAGGCAAUUGAAGGUGUUGAGAGGGGUCUGGGAGAGGCUGAGCAGGGAAGAAAAAGGACAAAGCAUCUUGGAAGGAGAAUAGGAGUGUGAACACAUUGCUACCAGGACCUGCCAUUGAGAAGAAACUGGCACUAGCAGUUCUAAGAGGCACCGAAAAUUCGGCUAGCUGUGAAGUUUUCAAAGUCUGUAGCCCUUGCCAUUCUCCGGUGGCUACACAGAAGGGUAAGCAAACAUCUUCAUACCAAAAGGAUGGGAGAUAACGACGUCAAAUAGGAUUCAACUAGAUGAUGGGGCAGGAAGGACGCUGUUUACAACUCCAGGAUUCAGUGUAGCAGGUUCUAAUACUUCCUUGCCCAGUAACCCCCUGACAAUGGGAACCUGAGGCAACCCAGUAAGGACAAGGCCAUGGGGUACUCAGCCACCCCAACUGCACGUUAAUCAUCCUGUCAGAUGAGGAGCCUCUUCGACAGAGCUGUUGGACGAUGGUGGGGGACACAGAAAGAGGGUGGAAGAAGGCAGCUCUGAUUACCGACUUGGGCUUCCUGACCAACUACCCAAGUGGGGUGAGGUAGGAUCCUCUAUUCUACUUCCACCUGUAUAUUUCCCCAAGUCUGAGAAGUAAAGCAGCAGAAGGCCCUUGAAUAGUAUAAUGAAUAGUGGCGUUGUCAUCCCACGUCCCAUAGAAGGGUGGUCUAGAGCUUAGGGCAUGGAUCAUGUUCUCAGAGAGGUGAGAGAAGGGUUCUUAGCUUUUGACUGAGCUAAUUAAAUAAAAUAAAUAAACCAAGAGUCUAGUCAAAAAAUUGAGAAAAUUGAAAUACAGUAUCCCAAGAUUUUCUGAAUAUGAAAACGUUGUUAUUUUGUAUAAGAAAAGACAUUCCUUGCCCUUUUCUCUCAGUCUUGAUAAUACUGAAAGAGCAAGAGCCUAUGAUCUUUGAAUAAAUGACAUUGCUUCUCAAGAAAGGAGAUUCACAAAUUUACAAUCACACACAUUCACAUUAUAUCAUUCCCCUUACUUUUCUGGGUCCAUAAAAGCUGUGUUACAAACUGGCAUUUGGAAACAAAUGGCUUACAGAAUACAAUUAUCACUUACAGUUUCUGAAUAUAUCCAUAAUAUAUAUGUCAGAUGUUUGCAUAUUAAAUGGAAUUCGUAUAUAUUACUUAAAUACUAUCUCCCAGCAGUUUCCUUAGUAGAAUUACUAUUGCUUUUGGCAAUA